RNAcentral lists this ribosomal RNA (253 nucleotides) under uncultured bacterium. Its description in RNAcentral is "partial 16S ribosomal RNA". It matches the Rfam family "Bacterial small subunit ribosomal RNA", at positions 524 to 776 of the family's 1533-position model. The record is from RNAcentral.
UACGAAGGGGGCUAGCGUUGCUCGGAAUCACUGGGCGUAAAGGGUGCGUAGGCGGGUUUUUAAGUCAGGGGUGAAAUCCUGGAGCUCAACUCCAGAACUGCCUUUGAUACUGAAAAUCUUGAGUUCGGGAGAGGUGAGUGGAACUGCGAGUGUAGAGGUGAAAUUCGUAGAUAUUCGCAAGAACACCAGUGGCGAAGGCGGCUCACUGGCCCGAUACUGACGCUGAGGCACGAAAGCGUGGGGAGCAAACAGG